RNAcentral lists this long non-coding RNA (338 nucleotides) under Anas platyrhynchos platyrhynchos (common mallard). RNAcentral describes it as "lncRNA (ENSAPLG00000024712.1)". Lineage: Eukaryota; Metazoa; Chordata; Aves; Anseriformes; Anatidae. The record is from RNAcentral.
GUGGACUUUCCUCUCAGAAGCACUGCCAUUGCAUGAUCCAGCAAUGUACUUUGGCUGAACAACACUUUGGCAUCAAUCUCCUGUAUGUUGUGUUAUACAGAAGAAGGUGCCCUGUCUUGCCUAACAGAACAACAAAAUUUAACCUCUGUGGGAAGAAGCUAAAAGGAAAAUUUUGUAAUAUUAUACAUAUUAUUUACAAGGAAAGGAAAGGAAAGGAAAGGAAAGGAAAGGAAAGGAAAGGAAAGGAAAGAUCAUGUAGAUCACUGUACUUUUACCUGCUAAACUACAGCAAACACCUUCAAAUAUCUUCUGGAGAGAUGAAAGAGACAGCACAAGCC